This 809-nucleotide ribosomal RNA is filed under the name Curvularia lunata. Its description in RNAcentral is "partial large subunit ribosomal RNA". It matches the Rfam family "Eukaryotic large subunit ribosomal RNA", at positions 82 to 909 of the family's 3401-position model. The record is from RNAcentral. Lineage: Eukaryota; Fungi; Ascomycota; Dothideomycetes; Pleosporales; Pleosporaceae.
AGUAACGGCAAGUGAAGCGGCAACAGCUCAAAUUUGAAAUCUGGCUCUUUCAGAGUCCGAGUUGUAAUUUGCAGAGGGCGCUUUGGCUUUGGCAGCGGUCCAAGUUCCUUGGAACAGGACGUCACAGAGGGUGAGAAUCCCGUACGUGGUCGCUAGCUAUUGCCGUGUAAAGCCCCUUCGACGAGUCGAGUUGUUUGGGAAUGCAGCUCUAAAUGGGAGGUAAAUUUCUUCUAAAGCUAAAUAUUGGCCAGAGACCGAUAGCGCACAAGUAGAGUGAUCGAAAGAUGAAAAGCACUUUGGAAAGAGAGUCAAACAGCACGUGAAAUUGUUGAAAGGGAAGCGCUUGCAGCCAGACUUGCUUGCAGUUGCUCAUCCGGGCUUUUGCCCGGUGCACUCUUCUGCAGGCAGGCCAGCAUCAGUUUGGGCGGUGGGAUAAAGGUCUCUGACACGUACCACCUUUCGGGGUGGACAUAUAGGGGAGAUGACAUACCACCAGCCUGGACUGAGGUCCGCGCAUCUGCUAGGAUGCUGGCGUAAUGGCUGUAAGCGGCCCGUCUUGAAACACGGACCAAGGAGUCUAACAUCUAUGCGAGUGUUUGGGUGUCAAGCCCGAGCGCGUAAUGAAAGUGAACGGAGGUGGGAACCCGCAAGGGUGCACCAUCGACCGAUCCUGAAGUUUACGGAAGGAUUUGAGUAAGAGCAUGGCUGUUGGGACCCGAGAGAUGGUGAACUAUGCUUGAAUAGGGUGAAGCCAGAGGAAACUCUGGUGGAGGCUCGCAGCGGUUCUGACGUGCAGAUCGAUCGUCAAA